GCUGACAGGUAACAUUUGGUGAGAGGGUAAACAAAGCCUUGGUGAAUUCACUUUCUUUAAACUUGUCCCACAUGAAAUUCUAUGGAUAACACUAGCCAUAGCUUAAUUAGUAGAAUCGCCCUUGGCAAUCAAGGCAAAGUGAAUUUGCUGGCAUUCUUUUCUACCAGCUCAGAUAGGGAGGAACCAGUUUCAUGCUGCCACGAGGAAGAGUUCUUGUGCACAGGGUGGGUGGUUUGUUUAAUUAAAGACAAAUAUAGAACUUUAAAACAAAUAAGCUAUCAAAUCCAGGAGAGCUGGUUCUGUACUGUUUGUCUACUGCUAAUUGUUUCUAUUAGACUCGCUAUUCUCAAUCUUUAGAUUCAGAAGCUGAAGACUUGACCAACUGAAUCUAGUAGCACCUUGAGAAUUGGCCGAAGAGACUGUCCCUGCAGGCUGCAAGACAGGCAAGAAUAUUAAAAGUGAAAAAAAAAUAUUAAGAAGAGCAAAGGAAAUCAAGGUGCCUACUUGAAAUACAGUGGCAUGGCUGAGCCAGUUAGUCAAACUGAUAAUAAGGGUUAUAAGGAGUAUAAGGAUAUUUUUCAAACUUGGCAACCGUAAGACAUGUGGACUUCAAUCCCAGAAUUUCCCAGCCAAUGGGGAAAAACACUGUGGCUUGGUGGCCUCUUUAUGGCAAUUAGCAAAUUACCAUUUCUAUAUGCUGCUUUGACUUCCUUGGAUAUUCUUGCUAAGUUUUAAAUUAGAACAAACCAGUCUUGGAUUAUUUCUCAACUGGGCUUUUGUGUCUGUAGAGCAUCACAAGAAUAAACAUUCAUGAUUUCA
Long non-coding RNA from Crotalus tigris (Tiger rattlesnake), 819 nucleotides. RefSeq lists it as uncharacterized. The record is from RefSeq and is a predicted model, not a curated record. Lineage: Eukaryota; Metazoa; Chordata; Lepidosauria; Squamata; Viperidae. The transcript has 2 exons.